Molecule: ribosomal RNA, 253 nt
Filed under: uncultured bacterium
Lineage: Bacteria
Description: partial 16S ribosomal RNA
Rfam family: Bacterial small subunit ribosomal RNA
Source: RNAcentral
UACAGAGGUCCCAAGCGUUGUUCGGAUUCAUUGGGCGUAAAGGGUGCGUAGGUGGCACCAUAAGUCAGGUGUGAAAUUUCGGAGCUUAACUCCGAAACUGCAUUUGAUACUGUGGUGCUUGAGGACUGGAGAGGAGACUGGAAUUUACGGUGUAGCAGUGAAAUGCGUAGAGAUCGUAAGGAAGACCAGUGGCGAAGGCGGGUCUCUGGACAGUUCCUGACACUGAGGCACGAAGGCCAGGGGAGCAAACGGG